UACAGAGGGGGCAAGCGUUAUUCGGAAUUAUUGGGCGUAAAGGGCGCGUAGGCGGCCUGGCAAGUGGAAGGUGAAAUCCCUCGGCUUAACCGAGGAACUGCCCUCCAAACUGCUUGGCUUGAGUCCGGGAGAGGUGAGUGGAAUUCCCCAGUGUAGCGGUGAAAUGCGUAGAUAUUGGGAGGAACACCAGUGGCGAAGGCGGCUCACUGGACCGGAACUGACGCUGAGGCGCGAAAGCGUGGGGAGCAAACGGG
Molecule: ribosomal RNA, 254 nt
Filed under: uncultured bacterium
Lineage: Bacteria
Description: partial 16S ribosomal RNA
Rfam family: Bacterial small subunit ribosomal RNA
Source: RNAcentral